UGCUCUAGCAGCGAAAACAGUUCUGCAGUUAGCUAUCAAUACUCUGGAGUAUUGUUUCCGCUGCCAGAGUA
Callithrix jacchus (white-tufted-ear marmoset) is the source of this 71-nucleotide microRNA precursor. The record is from Ensembl. NCBI's taxonomy places the organism in Eukaryota, Metazoa, Chordata, Mammalia, Primates, Cebidae.